GAUCCUGGCUCAGGAUGAACGCUAGCUACAGGCUUAACACAUGCAAGUCGAGGGGCAGCAUGGUCUUAGCUUGCUAAGGCUGAUGGCGACCGGCGCACGGGUGAGUAACACGUAUCCAACCUGCCGUCUACUCUUGGCCAGCCUUCUGAAAGGAAGAUUAAUCCAGGAUGGGAUCAUGAGUUCACAUGUCCGCAUGAUUAAAGGUAUUUUCCGGUAGACGAUGGGGGGUG
Molecule: ribosomal RNA, 230 nt
Filed under: uncultured bacterium
Lineage: Bacteria
Description: partial 16S ribosomal RNA
Rfam family: Bacterial small subunit ribosomal RNA
Source: RNAcentral